RNAcentral lists this ribosomal RNA (649 nucleotides) under Vibrio parahaemolyticus. Its description in RNAcentral is "bacterial SSU rRNA". It matches the Rfam family "Bacterial small subunit ribosomal RNA", at positions 65 to 716 of the family's 1533-position model. The record is from RNAcentral. Lineage: Bacteria; Pseudomonadati; Pseudomonadota; Gammaproteobacteria; Vibrionales; Vibrionaceae.
UUCGGGGGACGAUAACGGCGUCGAGCGGCGGACGGGUGAGUAAUGCCUAGGAAAUUGCCCUGAUGUGGGGGAUAACCAUUGGAAACGAUGGCUAAUACCGCAUGAUGCCUACGGGCCAAAGAGGGGGACCUUCGGGCCUCUCGCGUCAGGAUAUGCCUAGGUGGGAUUAGCUAGUUGGUGAGGUAAGGGCUCACCAAGGCGACGAUCCCUAGCUGGUCUGAGAGGAUGAUCAGCCACACUGGAACUGAGACACGGUCCAGACUCCUACGGGAGGCAGCAGUGGGGAAUAUUGCACAAUGGGCGCAAGCCUGAUGCAGCCAUGCCGCGUGUAUGAAGAAGGCCUUCGGGUUGUAAAGUACUUUCAGUCGUGAGGAAGGUGGUAGUGUUAAUAGCGCUAUCAUUUGACGUUAGCGACAGAAGAAGCACCGGCUAACUCCGUGCCAGCAGCCGCGGUAAUACGGAGGGUGCGAGCGUUAAUCGGAAUUACUGGGCGUAAAGCGCAUGCAGGUGGUUUGUUAAGUCAGAUGUGAAAGCCCGGGGCUCAACCUCGGAAUAGCAUUUGAAACUGGCAGACUAGAGUACUGUAGAGGGGGGUAGAAUUUCAGGUGUAGCGGUGAAAUGCGUAGAGAUCUGAAGGAAUACCGGUGGC